RNAcentral lists this ribosomal RNA (253 nucleotides) under uncultured bacterium. RNAcentral's name for it is "partial 16S ribosomal RNA". It matches the Rfam family "Bacterial small subunit ribosomal RNA", at positions 524 to 776 of the family's 1533-position model. The record is from RNAcentral.
UACGUAGGGGGCAAGCGUUGUCCGGAAUUAUUGGGCGUAAAGCGCGCGCAGGCGGCUUACUAAGUCUGGUGUGAAAGCCCACGGCUCAACCGUGGAGGGCCAUUGGAAACUGGUAGGCUUGAGUGCAGGAGAGGAGAGUGGAAUUCCCGGUGUAGCAGUGAAAUGCGUAGAGAUCGGGAGGAACAUCAGUUGCGAAGGCGGCUCUCUGGACCAGUACUGACGCUGAGGCACGAAAGCGUGGGGAGCAAACAGG